Molecule: long non-coding RNA, 553 nt
Filed under: Nicotiana benthamiana
Lineage: Eukaryota; Viridiplantae; Streptophyta; Magnoliopsida; Solanales; Solanaceae
Description: long non-coding RNA (NBEN_LNC017275)
Source: RNAcentral
GAAAAAUCGGAGGACCUUUAAAGAAAAUAGCCAUAGAAGCUUGAAACACUUCAAAUAUGUAGAGAUUCGAACAACAAGUAACAACGAAAGCAUAAAUCCUUUCGCAAUUGCUAAAAAUCGGUCAACAAUAUAGAAUUAAGAGAAUAUUAAAGAAAAUAUCAGUGAUGAGCUCAGAAGCAUUCCAAAUCGACAAAGAUCUUGAUAGAUUCAACUCUAAACACUAAGGUUUCAAAGAAAAAGGAAAGGGUAAAGAGAAUCUGGCUUUGAACCAAAGAUUCACACCACAGAACAUCGAUAGAAACACACUCAGAGACCAUAGGCAGACUCUCAGGGAGACUUGGACAAGAUCUGGACUAGAUUUCUUCGAGACCUUUCCAUGAGAUCGCAAGAACGAGCAACCAAGAGAUGUAAGAGGCAAGUAGAAGUCUUAAACAUCCAUGGAAAUCCAUGGAUCGAAUAGGAAUCAAAGAGAUUAGGGCUAAUUUUGAGUGGCGGUGGCUAGGGUUAGGAUUAGGUCUCUGAGAGACAGAGAGGAUUAGGGAUUCUAGGGCAG